RNAcentral lists this transfer RNA (71 nucleotides) under Ictidomys tridecemlineatus (thirteen-lined ground squirrel). Its description in RNAcentral is "Spermophilus tridecemlineatus (thirteen-lined ground squirrel) tRNA". It matches the Rfam family "tRNA". Rfam says of the family: Transfer RNA (tRNA) molecules are approximately 80 nucleotides in length. The record is from Rfam by way of RNAcentral. Lineage: Eukaryota; Metazoa; Chordata; Mammalia; Rodentia; Sciuridae.
GAGGUUGUGGCUCAGCAGUACAGCGUUCGCCUAGCAUGUGAGAGGCCCUGGGUUCGAUCCUCAGCACCCCA